GUCUAGAAUGUCAUCGUCGACCACUGGGCGGCGAAAUAAAUAAUACAACUUUCAGCAACGGAUCUCUUGGCUCUCGCAUCGAUGAAGAACGCAGCGAAUUGCGAUAAGUAAUGUGAAUUGCAGAUUUUCAGUGAAUCAUCGAAUCUUUGAACGCACCUUGCGCUCCUUGGUAUUCCGAGGAGCAUGCCUGUUUGAGUGUCAUUAAAUUCUCAACCAUGACUUUGUUGACAUGGCUUGGAGUUGGGGGUUGCUGGCUUGUUUGUCAGCUCUCCUGAAAUACAUUAGCGGUGGACUUGCAAGGCCUUCCGACGUGAUAAUGAUCGUCGUGGGGCGGAGCAUCAACGUCUGUCUGCUUCUAAAUCCCAGAUGCCUUAGCUAGACAUCAUUUCGAACGCUUGACCUCAAAUCAGGUAGGACUACCCGCUGAACUUAAGCAUAU
RNAcentral lists this unclassified non-coding RNA (439 nucleotides) under uncultured Xerocomus. Its description in RNAcentral is "sequence contains ITS1, 5.8S rRNA gene and ITS2". The stretch from base 47 to 201 matches the Rfam family "5.8S ribosomal RNA". The record is from RNAcentral. Lineage: Eukaryota; Fungi; Basidiomycota; Agaricomycetes; Boletales; Boletaceae.